This 206-nucleotide transfer RNA is filed under the name Cordyceps militaris CM01. Its description in RNAcentral is "tRNA-Und (NNN) (tRNA-Und-NNN-3-1)". Lineage: Eukaryota; Fungi; Ascomycota; Sordariomycetes; Hypocreales; Cordycipitaceae. The record is from RNAcentral.
GUCGGAUUGGCCGAGUGGUUUAAGGCGUGCUCAAUGUCCGAGUCGCUCCUCCUGUCGACCCCGAACCGCUCUCCUACGGGUGAAACAGAGACAGUGUGUGUGCGCGGCUAGGCUCUUGCCGGCUGCUGUACAGGGGGGGGGAUGGUUGAUAAUCGCAUGGGUGUGUCCGCGGCGCGCCCUCGGGGGUUCGAAUCCCCCAUCCGACG